RNAcentral lists this ribosomal RNA (425 nucleotides) under uncultured bacterium. Its description in RNAcentral is "partial 16S ribosomal RNA". It matches the Rfam family "Bacterial small subunit ribosomal RNA", at positions 354 to 796 of the family's 1533-position model. The record is from RNAcentral.
GUGAGGAAUAUUGGACAAUGGGCGCAAGCCUGAUCCAGCCAUGCCGCGUGAGUGAUGAAGGCCCUAGGGUUGUAAAGCUCUUUCGACGGGGAUGAUAAUGACCGUACCCGUAGAAGAAGCCACGGCUAAAUUCGUGCCAGCAGCCGCGGUAAUACGAAUGUGGCAAGCGUUGUUCGGAAUCACUGGGCGUAAAGAAUGCGUAGGCGGCUUGACAAGUCAGGAGUGAAAUCCCAAGGCUCAACCUUGGAACUGCUUUUGAAACUGUCUUGCUAGAGUCCCGGAGGGGUUGGCGGAAUUCCGAGUGUAGAGGUGAAAUUCGCAGAUAUUCGGAGGAACACCAGUGGCGUAGGCGGCCAACUGGACGGGAACUGACGCUGAGGCAUGAAAGUGUGGGGAGCAAACAGGAUUAGAAACCCGAGUAGUCC